GGCCCCGUAGCUCAGCCAGGAUAGAGCGGCGGCCUCCUAAGCCGUAGGUCGUGGGUUCAAAUCCCACCGGGGCCGCCA
RNAcentral lists this transfer RNA (78 nucleotides) under Vulcanisaeta sp. EB80. RNAcentral describes it as "tRNA-Arg". It matches the Rfam family "tRNA". From Rfam's summary of the family: Transfer RNA (tRNA) molecules are approximately 80 nucleotides in length. RNAcentral also lists the same sequence under 1 other name. Lineage: Archaea; Thermoproteati; Thermoproteota; Thermoprotei; Thermoproteales; Thermoproteaceae. The record is from RNAcentral.